AUUGAACGCUGGCGGCAGGCCUAACACAUGCAAGUCGAGCGGUAGAGAGGUGCUUGCAUCUCUUGAGAGCGGCGGACGGGUGAGUAAUGCCUAGGAAUCUGCCUAGUGGUGGGGGAUAACGUUCGGAAACGGACGCUAAUACCGCAUACGUCCUACGGGAGAAAGCGGGGGAUCUUCGGACCUCGCGCCAUUAGAUGAGCCUAGGUCGGAUUAGCUAGUUGGUGAGGUAAUGGCUCACCAAGGCGACGAUCCGUAACUGGUUUGAGAGAACGACCAGCCACACUGGGACUGAGACACGGCCCAGACUCCUACGGGAGGCAGCAGUGGGGAAUUUUUGGACAAUGGGCGGCAAGCCUGAUCCAGCAAUGCCGCGUGCAGGAUGAAGGCCU
RNAcentral lists this ribosomal RNA (389 nucleotides) under uncultured bacterium. RNAcentral's name for it is "bacterial SSU rRNA". It matches the Rfam family "Bacterial small subunit ribosomal RNA", at positions 30 to 417 of the family's 1533-position model. The record is from RNAcentral.